AAGGAAAAAUUAUAGGAAAAAUUUAUGUAAUAAAAUUGUAAAGGCUUAGUAAAAUGAAAUAAAAUAUUAGAAUUAAAAUUUAUUAUUAUAGUAAGGUUUAUUAAAAUUUUUUUGUCCAUAGAAAGUGUACUGAGAAGGAUUAUUGAAAUAGUUAUUUUAUUUAUUUGUAGAGAAGAAAUAUUUGAAUAUUUACCUUUUGUAUUAUGGAUAACUGAAAAAAUUAAAAUUAGUUAAUUUUAUUAACGAAAUGAAGUGAGCUACUAUAGUCUAUUUAUUAGAAAUAAUUUCUUUCUGUAGAAAAAGACAUGAAAAGAGGUUAUGGUUGAAGAGAAAUUCUUAACGAACUUUGUUAUAGCUUUUUUUUGAGGAAGUAAGUAUAAGCUUAUUUUAAUUUAUUAUUAAAGUAGAAAUAAUUGGUUGAUCAAUUAUCUCUUAAGAAAAAUAAUUCGUAUAUUUAAAGAAAAUCAUCAAGAUAAAAAAUUUGUAUUUGUUAAAAAGUAGGUUUUAAGUAAUUUUCUUUUUAGAGUGUGUUUAAAUUCUUUAAUAAAAUUAUAUUAAUUAAUAAUUGAUAAUAGAAGUUUAUUUUGUAAAAGAUUACUUGAAUUAUCUAUGUGGGUUGAUAAAAUAAUGGUUAUAUUAGUAAAAUUUUAUUCAUUUUAUUAAUUAAUAAAAUUUAAAGAAAAAAUUAAAUUUUUCUUUAUAUUCAUGUAUUCUUAUUUUAGUGAAUAAAAAAAUGAGUAGAGAAAGUAAGAAAAGGAACUCGGCAAAAAUUUUUCUCGCCUGUUUACCUAAAACAUCGCCUUUGGAUAUUUAUCAAAAGGUCCUGCCUGCCCAGUGAUGUAAAUUAAACGGCUGCGGUACUCUGACCGUGCAAAGGUAGCAUAAUCAUUAGCCUGUUAAUUUCAGGCUGGAAUCAAUGGCAAGACGAAGGAAAGACUGUCUCUUUUUACUUUUUUAUAAUUUUUCUUUUUGGUGAAGAGACCAAAAUAAAUUAGUGGGACGAGAAGACCCUAUUGAGUUUUAGUUUUUUUAGAGAAGAGAAUUUUUUAAAAUAACUUUGGUUGGGGCAACUAUCAAUUAAAUUAGACAUUGAUAAAUUAAAAAUUAAUUGAAUUAAAGAUAAAUAUCCAAAAAUUUGUUUUGAAAAUAAAAAAAAUUACCUUAGGGAUAACAGCGUAAUUCUUUUUGAGAGUACAUAUUGACAAAGGAGUUUGCGACCUCGAUGUUGGAUCAAGUUUUCCUGAAGGUGUAGCAGCUUUCAAAGGUUGGUUUGUUCACCAUGAAAAUCUUACGUGAUCUGAGUUCAGUCCGUCGUGAGACAGGACAGUUUCUAUCUACUAUUUUUCCCUUCUUGUACGAAAGGACUUUAGGGAAAAAAAUAAAAUUUGAAAAAUAUUUUUUAAAGAUAUAAGAAUAAUAUAAAAUUAAUUGUCGUUUGAAUAUAAAAAAUUAUUCCUUAAGGAAGACCAUUUAAA
RNAcentral lists this ribosomal RNA (1475 nucleotides) under Astrospartus mediterraneus. Its description in RNAcentral is "16S ribosomal RNA". The stretch from base 969 to 1344 matches the Rfam family "Bacterial large subunit ribosomal RNA", at positions 2049 to 2651 of the family's 2925-position model. The record is from RNAcentral. Lineage: Eukaryota; Metazoa; Echinodermata; Ophiuroidea; Euryalida; Gorgonocephalidae.